AUACGUAGGUGACAAGCGUUAUCCAGAUUUACUGGGUGUAAAGGGCGUGUAGGCGGUUUAGCAAGUCAGAAGUGAAAUUCCCGGGCUUAACUUGGGCGCUGCUUCUGAAACUGCUUUACUUGAGUGCUGGAGAGGAUAGUGGAAUUCCUAGUGUAGCGGUAAAAUGCGCAGAUAUUAGGAGGAACACCGGUGGCGAAGGCGGCUAUCUGGACAGUAACUGACGCUGAGGCGCGAAAGCACGGGGAGCAAACAGGAUUAGAUACCCUGGUAGUCCGUGCCGUAAACGAUGAAUACUUGGUGUAGGGGGUAUCGACUCCCUCUGUGCCGCAGUUAACACAAUAAGUAUUCCGCCUGGGGAGUACGGCCGCAAGGUUGAAACUUAAAGGAAUUGACGGGG
RNAcentral lists this ribosomal RNA (397 nucleotides) under uncultured bacterium. RNAcentral describes it as "partial 16S ribosomal RNA". It matches the Rfam family "Bacterial small subunit ribosomal RNA", at positions 523 to 918 of the family's 1533-position model. The record is from RNAcentral.